UGUCUUCCCACAAUUUCCAUGUCUGACCACCGCUACUACUAUGUCCUAUCAUAACAUUCCAUACAUAUUUAAAACCAAGCAAAGGGUGAGUUCCAUCUUUAAAAACUAAACAGGCAUUUUGGACAACACAUUCUUGGCAAUGGAACCUGGACAACAUUUAUCAAACACGGUAGGGAAAGUUCUCACUCUGCAUUAUAAAAAGGACAGCCAUAUAUCAACUGUUACAGAAAUGAAAUAUGAUGGAAAAUUUUU
This 252-nucleotide long non-coding RNA is filed under the name Homo sapiens (human). RNAcentral describes it as "HSALNT0290987". Lineage: Eukaryota; Metazoa; Chordata; Mammalia; Primates; Hominidae. The record is from RNAcentral.